AUUGAACGCUGGCGGCAUGCUUUACACAUGCAAGUCGAACGGCAGCGCGGGCUUCGGCCUGGCGGCGAGUGGCGAACGGGUGAGUAAUACAUCGGAACGUGCCCAGUCGUGGGGGAUAGCUCGGCGAAAGCCGGAUUAAUACCGCAUACGACCUGAGGGUGAAAGCGGGGGAUCUUCGGACCUCGCGCUAUUGGAGCGGCCGAUGGCAGAUUAGCUAGUUGGUGGGGUAAAGGCCUACCAAGGCGACGAUCUGUAGCUGGUCUGAGAGGACGACCAGCCACACUGGGACUGAGACACGGCCCAGACUCCUACGGGAGGCAGCAGUGGGGAAUUUUGGACAAUGGGCGAAAGCCUGAUCCAGCAAUGCCGCGUGUGUGAUGAAGGCCUUCGGGUUGUAAAGCACUGUUGGCGGGAACGAAAAGGACUGUGCCAAUACCACGGUUCGAUGACGGUACCCGCAGAAUAAGCACCGGCUAACUACGUG
RNAcentral lists this ribosomal RNA (484 nucleotides) under uncultured bacterium. Its description in RNAcentral is "partial 16S ribosomal RNA". It matches the Rfam family "Bacterial small subunit ribosomal RNA", at positions 29 to 507 of the family's 1533-position model. The record is from RNAcentral.